CACCACUCAAGCCUGGCUUGGUAUUGGGCGCCGCGUCCACCGCGCGCCCUAAUGUCGCCGGCCGAGUCGUCUUGUCUCCGAGCGUUGUGAAUUAUCAAUUCGCUUGUCGGACGGACGGCGCGCGCCGUUAAACCUUUUUUACAGG
RNAcentral lists this unclassified non-coding RNA (145 nucleotides) under uncultured Phaeothecoidea. Its description in RNAcentral is "sequence contains ITS2". The record is from RNAcentral. Lineage: Eukaryota; Fungi; Ascomycota; Dothideomycetes; Mycosphaerellales; Mycosphaerellaceae.